UUACUCUGUUCUUUUUUUUUUAAUGAUCUCUUUGUGUACAAAUCUCUUUCUCCUCUCUGUUUCUGAUUAUACAUAGAAUUUGCUCACUCACAUCGAUUGUUUUUGUUCGAUCUGAUUGUUUUCUCUCGAGCCAGAGAUGGUUCCUUCGUACGGCUUUCCCUUCUGAUAUUAAAAUUUUCUGACAAAGUUUCAUUUGUGCUCUAAGACUGUCUUUUCUACAGAACAAGUUGGAUUUUGGGUGUCUUAACAUUGAUGUGAUGAAAUGGGAGCAGCUGAAGUAAGAGCACUCUGGCAAAGAAGAGCAAGCCGUUGCUUUCUUGUUCAUGAAGAUGCUGCAAUGCCUCCGAGGUUAGCUUGUUGCUGCCACCACCACCAACAACAACAACAUCCUUCUUCUUCUUCUGGCAAAAACAGCUUUUCUUCUACUAGUUUUGGAGAUUCCUCUGAUUUCUCUUCUGAUACCAAAUGGUGGCUUAAGGGAGGAUCAUCUGGUUUUGAUGAGGAGAUUGCAAACUCCUUCCUCCAAGAUACCAAAUUGCAUCAAUUCGUCGACUUAACCGGGGUAAGUAAAGAAGCAAAAGACGAAGAAGAGUAUAGCUUUAUUAGCAAGAAAGAUACAGCUACAACGCCGUGGUGGAGAAGCGCUACGGAUCAAGAUGAGCUAGCUCUCUUGGUGUCCACUAGAUCCGUUGAUCAUCAUAUUCAAAACUGUGAUCUUCCUCCGCCCCAGAAGCUCCACAAGAGCAUUCAAUGCACUACUAAUGGUGAAAAAGGGUUUCAGACAGCAGUUAUUAAAUCACCAUGGAAACAAGGUGCUUGGAGCGAUCGGUUUGAGAGCAGCAGUAAUAGCACAGAUAGCAAGAACACGAGUCCAAAGUCUUCUCCUCAGAGCGAUGAUCUUAUAAGCAAAGCUCAGCUUUUAGAAGCGCUAAGGCAUUCUCAAACCAGAGCAAGAGAAGCAGAGGAGGCUGCCAAAGAAGCUUGCGCUGAGAAAGACCGUUUGAUUACUGUCUUGAUGAGGCAAGCGAGUCAGAUUUUAGCUUACAAGCAAUGGAUAAAGCUUCUUGAAAUGGAAGCUCUCUAUCUGCAUAUGGAGGAGGUGGGAGAACAAGAGCAGAUCGAAGGAAUGAAUCUGAAGAAGAGGAAGCAAAGAGGGAAGAAGAAGAAUAAGAAAAUGGGGGAGUUUGGGAGAUAUGUGAUGGCUUUUGCGUUGGGGUUUAGUCUCAUUGGUGCUGGUCUGCUCUUAGGUUGGACUGUUGGAUGGUUGUUUCCCUUCUAGAGUUUUGAAGAAACGUCUUUUGUUUGAUCACUGACUGAUCUUUGCAGGAGUUUAGGUUUUCACUUUGCCUCUAAAAUUGUGUGUAAUGUGUGUUGUCUUCAUGUAUAUAUGUGUGUGAUGUUUCCUUCCAAGCACCUGGACUGGCUGGCUAUAUGAAAGAUUAUUUGUAAAUAUGAAAAUUUCC
Molecule: RNA transcript, 1463 nt
Organism: Brassica rapa (field mustard)
Lineage: Eukaryota; Viridiplantae; Streptophyta; Magnoliopsida; Brassicales; Brassicaceae
Source: RefSeq, a predicted model, not a curated record